UUAAAAAAUAUUUCGUUGCUUCCAUCAUAUUUAUUGAGCAUAAUUUGUAACGGUUGGUUAUCAUUGUUCACUAUGGACGUUGUACAACAUUGAACUUAGUUUUAAGAAUUUGUUACUGAAAUGAACACAUUACAUGGUUUACGAUUACUAUACAGGAAAAAGCACACAGCAAAAUAUAUUUUCCAUAACAUUUUUUUGCACUUCAUCAUACGACCGUUCCGAAACUCGUGGAAAGUGAAUGCGAUGAACUGAUUGAUCAAUUGACUUUGCUCGUUUCUAAACCUAUUGACGAAGUAUAAACUCCGUCGGUGUUCUUUUAUAGUAUGCAAAAAAGCGGAAAAUAAUAAAUUCUAUUUAUUACAUUUCAACAAUGUGAUGUGGAAGUGUAUCGUUAAAAAUCAUAUCUUUGAAACCCUAGCGUAGACUAGUAAUAGCCGAGUAUACAUUCAACCGAAGAGAAACGUUUUUAUCAUCACUCUUGUUGUAUUUGACGGAAAACACAUUCACCCUCAGUAGACUUUGCUGAACCAUAUUUAAUAUAUACCUUCAAAAAAUAAAUGCUUUAUAUAUAUUUAUUUUGUACAAGCUACAAGAGAUUUUGAAUAUCAAUAUACUACAUUUCGUUUUUAAC
Long non-coding RNA from Daktulosphaira vitifoliae (grape phylloxera), 631 nucleotides. RefSeq lists it as uncharacterized. NCBI's taxonomy places the organism in Eukaryota, Metazoa, Arthropoda, Insecta, Hemiptera, Phylloxeridae. The transcript is spliced from 3 exons. The record is from RefSeq and is a predicted model, not a curated record.